AGUGAACGCUGGCGGUAGGCCUAACACAUGCAAGUCGAACGGCAGCACAGUAAGAGCUUGCUCUUACGGGUGGCGAGUGGCGGACGGGUGAGGAAUACAUCGGAAUCUACUUUUUCGUGGGGGAUAACGUAGGGAAACUUACGCUAAUACCGCAUACGACCUACGGGUGAAAGCAGGGGAUCUUCGGACCUUGCGCGAUUGAAUGAGCCGAUGUCGGAUUAGCUAGUUGGCGGGGUAAAGGCCCACCAAGGCGACGAUCCGUAGCUGGUCUGAGAGGAUGAUCAGCCACACUGGAACUGAGACACGGUCCAGACUCCUACGGGAGGCAGCAGUGGGGAAUAUUGGAAGAGGGGCGCAAGCCUGAUCCAGCCAUACCGCGUGGGUGAAGAAGGCCUUCGGGUUGUAAAGCCCUUUUGUUGGGAAAGAAAAGCAGCAGGUUAAUACCCCGCUGUUCUGACGGUACCCAAAGAAUAAGCACCGGCUAACUUCG
RNAcentral lists this ribosomal RNA (490 nucleotides) under uncultured bacterium. Its description in RNAcentral is "partial 16S ribosomal RNA". It matches the Rfam family "Bacterial small subunit ribosomal RNA", at positions 29 to 505 of the family's 1533-position model. The record is from RNAcentral.